GGGUUGUGAGGUUAAGCGACUAAGCGUACACGGUGGAUGCCCUGGCAGUCAGAGGCGAUGAAGGACGUGCUAAUCUGCGAAAAGCGCCGGCGAGGUGAUAUGAACCCUUGACCCGGCGAUGUCCGAAUGGGGAAACCCAGUGUGAUUCGUCACACUAUCGUUAACUGAAUACAUAGGUUAACGAGGCGAACCGGGGGAACUGAAACAUCUAAGUACCCCGAGGAAAAGAAAUCAACCGAGAUUCCCCCAGUAGCGGCGAGCGAACGGGGAGCAGCCCAGAGUCUGAAUCAGCUUGUGUGUUAGUGGAAGCGUCUGGAAAGUCGCACGGUACAGGGUGAUAGUCCCGUACACGAAAAUGCACAGGCUGUGAACUCGAAGAGUAGGGCGGGACACGUGGUAUCCUGUCUGAAUAUGGGGGGACCAUCCUCCAAGGCUAAAUACUCCUGACUGACCGAUAGUGAACCAGUACCGUGAGGGAAAGGCGAAAAGAACCCCGGCGAGGGGAGUGAAAAAGAACCUGAAACCGUGUACGUACAAGCAGUGGGAGCACCUUCGGGUGUGACUGCGUACCUUUUGUAUAAUGGGUCAGCGACUUAUAUUCUGUAGCAAGGUUAACCGUAUAGGGGAGCCGAAGGGAAACCGAGUCUUAACUGGGCGUUAAGUUGCAGGGUAUAGACCCGAAACCCGGUGAUCUAGCCAUGGGCAGGUUGAAGGUUGGGUAACACUAACUGGAGGACCGAACCGACUAAUGUUGAAAAAUUAGCGGAUGACCUGUGGCUGGGGGUGAAAGGCCAAUCAAACCGGGAGAUAGCUGGUUCUCCCCGAAAGCUAUUUAGGUAGCGCCUCGUGAACUCAUCUUCGGGGGUAGAGCACUGUUUCGGCUAGGGGGCCAUCCCGGCUUACCAACCCGAUGCAAACUACGAAUACCGAAGAAUGUUAUCACGGGAGACACACGGCGGGUGCUAACGUCCGUCGUGAAGAGGGAAACAACCCAGACCGCCAGCUAAGGUCCCAAAGUCAUGGUUAAGUGGGAAACGAUGUGGGAAGGCCCAGACAGCCAGGAUGUUGGCUUAGAAGCAGCCAUCAUUUAAAGAAAGCGUAAUAGCUCACUGGUCGAGUCGGCCUGCGCGGAAGAUGUAACGGGGCUAAACCAUGCACCGAAGCUGCGGCAGCGACACUAUGUGUUGUUGGGUAGGGGAGCGUUCUGUAAGCCGUUGAAGGUGGCCUGUGAGGGUUGCUGGAGGUAUCAGAAGUGCGAAUGCUGACAUAAGUAACGAUAAAGCGGGUGAAAAGCCCGCUCGCCGGAAGACCAAGGGUUCCUGUCCAACGUUAAUCGGGGCAGGGUGAGUCGACCCCUAAGGCGAGGCCGAAAGGCGUAGUCGAUGGGAAACAGGUUAAUAUUCCUGUACUUGGUGUUACUGCGAAGGGGGGACGGAGAAGGCUAUGUUAGCCGGGCGACGGUUGUCCCGGUUUAAGCAUGUAGGCGGAGGUUCCAGGUAAAUCCGGUACCUUUUAACGCUGAGGUGUGAUGACGAGGCACUACGGUGCUGAAGUAACAAAUGCCCUGCUUCCAGGAAAAGCCUCUAAGCAUCAGGUAACAUCAAAUCGUACCCCAAACCGACACAGGUGGUCAGGUAGAGAAUACCAAGGCGCUUGAGAGAACUCGGGUGAAGGAACUAGGCAAAAUGGUGCCGUAACUUCGGGAGAAGGCACGCUGAUAUGUAGGUGAAGCCCCUGCGGGUGGAGCUGAAAUCAGUCGAAGAUACCAGCUGGCUGCAACUGUUUAUUAAAAACACAGCACUGUGCAAACACGAAAGUGGACGUAUACGGUGUGACGCCUGCCCGGUGCCGGAAGGUUAAUUGAUGGGGUUAGCGGUAACGCGAAGCUCUUGAUCGAAGCCCCGGUAAACGGCGGCCGUAACUAUAACGGUCCUAAGGUAGCGAAAUUCCUUGUCGGGUAAGUUCCGACCUGCACGAAUGGCGUAAUGAUGGCCAGGCUGUCUCCACCCGAGACUCAGUGAAAUUGAACUCGCUGUGAAGAUGCAGUGUACCCGCGGCAAGACGGAAAGACCCCGUGAACCUUUACUAUAGCUUGACACUGAACACUGGUCCUUGAUGUGUAGGAUAGGUGGGAGGCUUUGAAGCGUGGACGCCAGUCUGCGUGGAGCCAUCCUUGAAAUACCACCCUUUAAUGGCUGGUGUUCUAACGUAGACCCGUAAUCCGGGUUGCGGACAGUGUCUGGUGGGUAGUUUGACUGGGGCGGUCUCCUCCCAAAGAGUAACGGAGGAGCACGAAGGUUAGCUAAUCCUGGUCGGACAUCAGGAGGUUAGUGCAAUGGCAUAAGCUAGCUUGACUGCGAGAGUGACGGCUCGAGCAGGUGCGAAAGCAGGUCAUAGUGAUCCGGUGGUUCUGAAUGGAAGGGCCAUCGCUCAACGGAUAAAAGGUACUCCGGGGAUAACAGGCUGAUACCGCCCAAGAGUUCAUAUCGACGGCGGUGUUUGGCACCUCGAUGUCGGCUCAUCACAUCCUGGGGCUGAAGUAGGUCCCAAGGGUAUGGCUGUUCGCCAUUUAAAGUGGUACGCGAGCUGGGUUUAGAACGUCGUGAGACAGUUCGGUCCCUAUCUGCCGUGGGCGCUGGAGAAUUGAGGGGGGCUGCUCCUAGUACGAGAGGACCGGAGUGGACGCAUCACUGGUGUUCGGGUUGUCAUGCCAAUGGCACUGCCCGGUAGCUAAAUGCGGAAGAGAUAAGUGCUGAAAGCAUCUAAGCACGAAACUUGCCCCGAGAUGAGUUCUCCCUGAGACUUAAAGUCUCCUGAAGGAACGUUGAAGACGACGACGUUGAUAGGUCGGGUGUGUAAGCGCAGCGAUG
Molecule: ribosomal RNA, 2870 nt
Filed under: Enterobacter cloacae
Lineage: Bacteria; Pseudomonadati; Pseudomonadota; Gammaproteobacteria; Enterobacterales; Enterobacteriaceae
Description: partial 23S ribosomal RNA
Rfam family: Bacterial large subunit ribosomal RNA
Source: RNAcentral